Molecule: long non-coding RNA, 238 nt
Filed under: Gossypium raimondii (Peruvian cotton)
Lineage: Eukaryota; Viridiplantae; Streptophyta; Magnoliopsida; Malvales; Malvaceae
Description: long non-coding RNA (GRAI_LNC005772)
Source: RNAcentral
GCUGUUGCAUGUGUUGCUUCUUCUUUCUUGCAGGGUGGUUGAUGGUGGCAAAGGAGUUGGUGCGGCGCUGACGUGGGAAGAGCGACGGCGACAGGCUAGAGAUUUAGGGCUUCUAUUUCUAUUUAGGUCUUGGGUCAGACGGGCCAUUAGGUUUUUUUGGGGUUUGGGCUUGAUGUAUUUUUUGUCAAUGGACUGUUAUAUUUGGACCUUUUUAUUUUUGGUUAAAAUUUGUUUUAUC